RNAcentral lists this ribosomal RNA (909 nucleotides) under uncultured organism. Its description in RNAcentral is "bacterial SSU rRNA". It matches the Rfam family "Bacterial small subunit ribosomal RNA", at positions 18 to 944 of the family's 1533-position model. The record is from RNAcentral.
UCUGGCUCAGGAUGAACGCUGGCGGCGUGCUUAACACAUGCAAGUCGAACGGUGAAGCCUGCUAUUAUAGUGGGUGGAUCAGUGGCGGACUGGUGAGUAACACGUAGGUGACCUGCCCCAAAGAGGAGAAUAACUUGACGAAAGUGAAGCUAAUACUCCAUGUGGUCAAUCAUUCGGUUGAUUGAUUAAAGCUAAGGCGCUUUGGGAGGGGCUUGCGGCCCAUCAGCUAGUUGGUAGGGUAAAGGCCUACCAAGGCGAAGACGGGUAGCUGGUCUGAGAGGACGAUCAGCCACAAUGGCACUGAAACACGGGCCAUACUCCUACGGGAGGCAGCAGUGAGGAAUAUUGCACAAUCGACGCAAGUCGGAUGCAGCAACGCCGCGUGGACGAUGAAGGCCUUCGGGUUGUAAAGUCCUUUUAAGAGGGACGAGGAAGGACGGUACCUCUUGAAUAAGUCUCGGCUAACUACGUGCCAGCAGCCGCGGUAACACGUAGGAGGCGAGCGUUAUCCGGAUUUAUUGGGCGUAAAGCGCAUGCAGGUGGCUAGGUAAGUCGGGUGUGAAAGCCCCGGACUUAAUCCGGGGAGGUCAUUCGAUACUGCUUGGCUUGAGAGCGGGAGAGGGAAGUGGAAUUCUCGGUGUAGUGGUGAUAUGCGUAGAUAUCGAGAGGAACACCAGUGGCGAAGGCGGCUUCCUGGCCCGUAUCUGACACUAAGAUGCGAAAGCGUGGGUAGCAAACGGACUUAGAUACUCCGGUAGUCCACGCUGUAAACGAUGGGUACUAGGUGUAGGGGGUGUAAAACUCUCUGUGCCAUAGUUAACGCACUAAGUACCCCGCCUGGGGACUACGGUCGCAAGGCUAAAACUCAAAGGAAUUGACGGGGGCCCGCACAAGCAGCGGAGCGUGUGG